UGGUUGGUGUCUCACAAAUGAGC
Molecule: non-coding RNA, 23 nt
Filed under: Cricetulus griseus (Chinese hamster)
Lineage: Eukaryota; Metazoa; Chordata; Mammalia; Rodentia; Cricetidae
Source: RNAcentral